This 511-nucleotide ribosomal RNA is filed under the name Mixta gaviniae. RNAcentral describes it as "bacterial SSU rRNA". It matches the Rfam family "Bacterial small subunit ribosomal RNA", at positions 89 to 596 of the family's 1533-position model. The record is from RNAcentral. Lineage: Bacteria; Pseudomonadati; Pseudomonadota; Gammaproteobacteria; Enterobacterales; Erwiniaceae.
UGACGAGUGGCGGACGGGUGAGUAAUGUCUGGGGAUCUGCCCGAUGGAGGGGGAUAACCACUGGAAACGGUGGCUAAUACCGCAUAACGUCGCRAGACCAAAGUGGGGGACCUUCGGGCCUCACACCAUCGGAUGAACCCAGAUGGGAUUAGCUAGUAGGUGGGGUAACGGCUCACCUAGGCGACGAUCCCUAGCUGGUCUGAGAGGAUGACCAGCCACACUGGAACUGAGACACGGUCCAGACUCCUACGGGAGGCAGCAGUGGGGAAUAUUGCACAAUGGGCGCAAGCCUGAUGCAGCCAUGCCGCGUGUAUGAAGAAGGCCUUCGGGUUGUAAAGUACUUUCAGCGGGGAGGAAGGGGAYGAGGUUAAUAACCUCGUUCAUUGACGUUACCCGCAGAAGAAGCACCGGCUAACUCCGUGCCAGCAGCCGCGGUAAUACGGAGGGUGCAAGCGUUAAUCGGAAUUACUGGGCGUAAAGCGCACGCAGGCGGUCUGUUAAGUCAGAUGUG